GAUGAAGAACGUAGCGAAAUGCGAUACGUAGUGUGAAUUGCAGAAUUCAGUGAAUCAUCGAAUCUUUGAACGCACAUUGCACCUCUCGGUAUUCCGGGAGGUAUGCCUGUUCGAGCGUCAUUUGUACCCUCAAGCUAUGCUUGGUGUUGGGUGUUUGUUCCGCCUCUGUGUGUGAACUCGCCUCAAAACAAUUGGCAGCCGGCGUACUUGUUUCGGAGCGCAGCACAUUUUGCGAUCCAGAUCAACGUACAGCGGCAUCCAAGAAGCCUUAUUUAACGCUCUUGACCUCGGAUCAGGUAGGGAUACCCGCUGAACUUAAGCAUAUCAAUAAGCGGAGGA
This 339-nucleotide unclassified non-coding RNA is filed under the name soil metagenome. RNAcentral's name for it is "partial contains 5.8S ribosomal RNA, internal transcribed spacer 2, and large subunit ribosomal RNA". The stretch from base 1 to 120 matches the Rfam family "5.8S ribosomal RNA", at positions 35 to 154 of the family's 154-position model. The record is from RNAcentral.